GGGCGCGUAGCUCAGCGGAAGAGCACUCCCUUCACACGGGAGGGGUCACAGGUUCAAUCCCUGUCGCGCCCACCA
RNAcentral lists this transfer RNA (75 nucleotides) under Hyphomicrobiales bacterium. Its description in RNAcentral is "tRNA-Val". It matches the Rfam family "tRNA". From Rfam's summary of the family: Transfer RNA (tRNA) molecules are approximately 80 nucleotides in length. Their secondary structure includes four short double-helical elements and three loops (D, anti-codon, and T loops). The record is from RNAcentral. Lineage: Bacteria; Pseudomonadati; Pseudomonadota; Alphaproteobacteria; Hyphomicrobiales. RNAcentral also lists the same sequence under 2 other names.